This 5884-nucleotide long non-coding RNA is filed under the name Cucumis sativus (cucumber). RNAcentral's name for it is "long non-coding RNA (CSAT_LNC001006)". Lineage: Eukaryota; Viridiplantae; Streptophyta; Magnoliopsida; Cucurbitales; Cucurbitaceae. The record is from RNAcentral.
UUGCAAUAAAGGUAAGAUAUUUCCGGCUCAUACGUCUCACUACUUUGCGGUACAAAUUGAUUGUAAAACUGCUUGCUGAGAGAAUCAAUAUAAUUAUGGCCAGUAUUAUAGCUCCCACUUAAAGUGCUUUUUUGGAAGGCCAUCAAAUUCUGGAUCCUUUACUUAUUGCUGAAGUUGUGGAGGAUUAUAGGUCCAAAAAGAAAAGGGAUGGAUUAUCAAAUUGGACCUUUUUUUUUUAAAGGUGACAAACUUCUUUAUCAAUAAUAAGAACUCAAAGUACAAGAGAAUUAUACAAUAGCGUAAUAAAGAAGUCUAAACAGCAGAAAAACUAGGAGAUCAAAAAUGCACCCAGAAAUCUCAACUAGGUUAACACCCCCUUGGCACCAAAAAAUCAUAUCUCAAUUAAGACUAGAAAAAUUGAACCACAUUACAAUGGGAACUAAGUCCAGACUAGUACAGAAAACUGAAAAACAAGAGAAAUACAGGAAAGAAAAUAGGGCAGAAACAGUGCAGUACAGUACAAGGGUUGAGCCUCUAUAACAAAACUACUACUGUGUUCAAACAAAAGAAGGCAUCAAACUAAGCUCCAUAGAAGGCGGCCAGGAAGCGAACGAAGAUAUCAAGAUGCAGUUGGGACACCACAUCAGAAGCAGGCCUAGGGGACUGGUUGAGAUAGGAAGACUGCCCAGUUGAGACAAAUAUCUUGAGUGGAGUAAUCUGCAAAUUCCUUGUUUAGAGAGCACCAAGCUGCAUUGCAUUUCACUGAGUUGAAAAUUUCUGACCUUGGGCUUUGCUUAUCGUGAAAGUUCUGUUGUUUAACAACCACAAUUCUGCUAGAAGAGCUUUUAAUAAAUUUAGCCAAAUGAGCCGAGACUUCUUAGGUAGAGAUGGACCCUCAAAUAGUUGAAGCACCGAGGAGCCGAGGGAAGCAUCAAAGACCCAUGCAAUAUCAAAGAUGGAGAAGAAACUGUUAGCAUCCAAAGGAGGAAUAGGGACAAAGCAGAAAAGGAUGAAGCAAUGACUCAUUAGCGUUCAUACAGAGAUGGCAAACCGAAGGCUGGAGGCACCUGUUUGGGGACUUCUUUUGGAGGAUUUCUGAACAAUUUAGGGCCCUACUGAUCCCACAAAAUACCAACCGAUGUCUCUAGAACUCCAUAUUGAUUUCAUAAAGAUAGAGUUGAUUUCCAUUUUAUAUUCUUGGAUCAAAACUAUAUCCAGAUCAUGAAUUUUUAUGAAUUUCUUCAAGGCUGCCCUUUUUGUGAUGUCAUUUAAGCCCCAAGUGUUCCAAUAAAUUAACUUCAUGAGGCUCGAUGAGAGGGUGUAAGACUUAUCAAUCUUUCGUUAAACCCGCCACAAUAAUUGACUAAGGGCAGCAGAUCCUUAGUCUAUUCCGAGGGGACUUUGAAGGGAAUAGUGAUGGCUUCAUCAAAUAAAGUAGAGCGAUCUGACCCUUUAAUUUCUUCAUUGCUCUUGAAAAGGCAUUUAUUUUGGUCCGCUGGUGGAAAUCAGGGCAGACCAAGAGGAAGAAUUCAAGCUUCAGGUGGGUUAAGGCAAGGGGAUCCUCUGUCCCCCUUCCUUUUCCUUUUUGUUAGUUAAGUGCUUAGUAGUAGCCUCAUUUCAAAUCUGCACUUAAAGAUUUGUAUGAAGGUCUAACGGUAGGAAAAGACAAUGUUCAUGUUCCACUCCUUCAAUUCGCAGACGACCCCUUAAUCUUUUGCAGGUUUGAUGCUUGUGAACUUAAAAAAGAUGCUUGAAAUUUUUUAGUGCUGUUCUGGGCGAAAGAUAAAUUGGGAAAAGUCAGCUAUACGCGGAGUUAAUAUUGAGGAAAGCAAGAUCUCCUUAGAGGCAUCCAUGCUGAAUUGUAAGAUAGAAAAGCUCCCUUUGAUGUAUCUAGGUCUUCCUUUGGGAGGAUAUCCAAAAAGUGUUCGCUAUUGGCAGCCUGUUCUAGAUAAAGUACAACAGAAAUUAGAUAAAUGAAAGUGGUUGAAUCUUUCAAGAGGACGAAGACUUACCCUUUGCUCAUCCGUGCUCUCCAAUCUUCCCACUUCAUGUCCACAUUCCACGUGCCAGAAAGUCUCUAAUUCCAUUGAAAGAUCCAUAAGGAACUUCUUUUGGGAAGGGAACAAUGGUAGCAAGUUGAAUCACCUAAUGAAAUGGGAAUUGGUUACCAAAUCCCAAGGACAUGGGGGUCUUGGGUUGGACAAGCUGAAAAUUGGAAACAGUGGGAGUGGAGGUUCAUGGCAGAACGGAACUCUUGAUGGUGCAAGGUGGUUCGUAAAUGAGGAUGGUGGUAGCAAAUGAGGAUGCACAAUUCUAUCCCUAACUCACUUGCAGCUGGCAGAACAGAACACUACCCGACUCACUUCUUCAGCGGUCAGAUUUAAAUUGUGCAUCCGUUAUGCAAAAGAAAUUGCCCACUUGUUAUAUUUUGCCACAGAUAUGCCCAUUCUGCCUCAACUAGCAUGACGAACUCCAGCACAUCUUGUUUGAAUGUGUUUAUGCUGCCAAAUGUUGGAAUAAACUCUUUCACACCAUUAAUCUCAGCUGGGUCCUUUGUAAAGAGUGCAAGAAUAACACUUUUUUUAAUGGAAACAAGCCUCUUCAUUAAUUAAAUAAAAUGAGACUAAUGCUCAAAAUACAAGAGAAUUAUACAAAGCAAUAACUCAGUUUUCUGAGAAGGAUCAGCCCAAUACUAUUCUGCAAUCAGCUACUAUCAAUUUCAAAUGAUCUAAAAGUCCAAUGGGCAGAACUGAUAGUGGGCAAACCAAGCACUUUUCAAGAACUGUCAAAUCAUCUUUCAAAUCUUCAUCCAAUUGAAACAAAGCAUUAAGGUCUGUUUCUAGAGGCUCCGAAUGCGAUAACCCCUCAUUUUCUUCCAUCCUUUCCAAUUUUCAAAUUCUACAUUUCUCACACUAAAAGGAGAAUCAAAUGUUAUCUCACACUUCUUUUUGGAUGGAAUGACCGGAAUAUGGCAUAAAGUGCCUCUCUUGUUAUCUCACACUAGAGUAUUCAAAGGCUUGAAGAUUAGAGGAUUGAGAAUUUGACUUAUUAACUUGAGAGAGAACUUAAACUUUAGCACAAUUAGCUUCUAAAACAUCAGGAUUCUGCUAGGGAAUCAACUCCUCCUUAAGGAGUCUCUUUUUAAUGGUUUCGUUUGCUUUCUUUCUUCUAACAAAGUGCUUUGAAAAAGGCUUGAAUAAGUGCCCAUUUCUCCCUUUUGGUUGGAGCUUGAUCCUUUUUUAGAUGUAAAUCUGACUGAGGAAGAAGUUAAAGAAGAAACAUUCAAAAGGGAGGAAGGGAAAUAAGAAGUUUUGAAUUUUUUCCGGACAAGGGGUUGCAGUGAUUUGAAACAUCAAGAAUGGGAGGUACUAACGGCUCAGAAGAAACAUGGGAUAGCUCUCUGCCAACAGAGGAACUUGGAACAGUUGUAAUGAGGCCAUGUGACUGUUGGGCUGUCUUGGAUGAUAAAGAAUUAGGCUGUCAUUUAAAUUUUCGUUUGCAACAAAGUUAACUCUCAAAUUCUUGAAAAUGACCCAGCUGUCGGUUCAUUAAACUCGUGAAUGACUCUUGGAAUUUCAUUGGGCAAAACAGUUGACACUGCUGGAUCUUUCUCUUUCCUCUUUAAAAUCACCUCUUCAGUUUCCUUUUCUUAUCAGUGCAAGAAUAAUGUUAGACAUAAACUUAUUGGUCCGGUUAUGAUGAAAAAUGCUUCCUUGCUUUAGUGCAGUGCUGUCAAGGCAAUUUUGGUGGAACUGUGGUUUGAGAGUCUUCCACAAUAAAACCUCCUCUUGGUCUGAUAGAUACGAGUUCACAUGCCUGAAUGCCUCUUUGUGGUUCUCCCUAAGUACACAAUUUAAAGACUUCUCUAUCUUACAAAACUGGCAGGUCUUUAUCUUCCCUCCUUGCGGACGCUGCAGAAUUGGCUCAUAGCCUUUCUAAUAGUUUCAGAAUCUUUCUGUCUCGCUGUAUUUUUUAUUUCUAGUCUUGUUAGAAGUAGUUUCUUAUGUUUUUUUUGGGUUGUAUUGGCUGUUUUUAGCCCUGCACACGGACAUUGUUAGUUGUUUUAUCUUUAUAUCAUGUAUGGAUAUGAUGAGGGUGCUAAGGGGUGUCAAUCUAGUUGAGAUAUCCGGGAGUACCUCCUGAUCCUUGGUUUGUUUGCUCAUAGUAUAAUUCUAUCGUACUAUGAACUGUUUCCUUUUAAAAAAAACUCCAAGCCACCAAAAUAAAAGUCCCCAUAGACUUCCCAAAAUCGCAAAUGCAGACAAAAAUUUGUGAAAAAUAUAUAUAAACGGAAUGUCACCACCACCCAACUCAAUUACGGUUAUGGUAAUACAAAAAAGUGUCACCUUUUGAGGAUUGUAACGGUUCUCUUUAUGUCUUCCACUGUCUAUCACAUAAACCACAUCAUCGAUCGUAAUACUGGUCUCCGCAAUAUUUGUGGCUAUUAUAACCUGAAUUCCAAGAUUAAAGACAUUUCAUAACCAUCAACAUAAACACCAUAGAUGCAUAGAAUUAAAGAGCAAAGGAAAACUGGGUCGAAUCAAGUUCAGAAGUAAAAGAAUAGGCAAAACAGAAGAAAUAGCAUUCAGCUUCUGUGGACAUUUUACUACUGCUAAAUUUCUUCUCUCACCCUAAUAUGUACAAAGGUAUAUUUAAUAAAUGAUAAGUUACUAUUCAUCAAGGGUGUUCAAAUGACCCAAGCGCUCAAACAACUCGAACUACCCAAUCCAAAUUGUAAGGAUUGGGUUUUAGUUACACUUUUACAAAUUCGAGUUGACCCAACCUCGACCCGAAUUCCUAAUAUUAUUAAAAUAUAUAAAUUAACUUAUAAAAUAUCAUAACUCAUAUAUAUUGUUAUAACAUUUGUUUAAAGUUUAUAAUAGAUAUCUUGGAUUUUGAUAUUUAACCUUUGACUUUUGUGAAAUUUUAGUUAUUAGUAUGUGUUGUAGACAAAAUUAAGUAUUCUAAGUUAAUAAAAGAAUGCACUUAAAAAGGAAAGGAGAAAAUAAAUAACCCAACCCAAGGUUGGGUUGAGUGGAGGUCCUAUUCAGGUCAUUUGGGUAGCCAACUCAAUCAACCUGAAAAAUUUAGGUUGGUCCAAAAAAUGCCCUCAAACGAACCCAACCCAUGUCACCCUUACCACUCAGUAUGUGGUGGACCAGUCCUCAAGGAAGUCUAAAACAUAUAGGACUUUCGUGUGAAUAUAUUUAGACCUAACAAAAACUAGGAGAACAUAUAGAAUUUUGAAAACGAUUCAAACAGACGUAUGCCAGAGCAACAAGAAAGAGCCAAAUUGGCCUAAUGAUCAUAAUUUAUAUAGUUUAAUUAAAAUUUAACUGCACAAAAUACGUAUUUUGUGCAGACUAAAUAAUAUUAACCAACUAUGGCAAUGUGAUUUUGCAGGUGCUGUUUGGAGUUGUUUCUUUAAGGCGUAUGGCUUUGGCUUUUGCUUUGUCAAUGCUGAGGUUUGUAGAGAGACAAUUGAGGAUUGUCAAAAUGUAUAUUACACACCACAGUGUGUAAUAUUUUGUGGUGUCUUUGGAAUGAGAGGAACAAUAGAAACGGUUGUAAAGAGGAGAGAAAGACUGAGGAGCUUCCCUAUUGAUCGGCUAAGAAUAGAAAAAAUCCCCUAGUGUGCAUGAUGUCUACCAAAACUCCAUUGAUCGGCUAAGAAUAUGAGAAACCUUGUUUGAUGAGGGCUGUGAUCUCUUCUCCUUCCCACCUGUACUUAAUGUCCCAAAAUCAGUUUUUGCAACCUUGCCGAGGAAUAGAAGUCCAUCAACCUCUACAACAUUUUCCGGCCACCUCACCGGCGCCGGAGAAGAUGAAUGGUUCCGGUAAACAGGUGGCAGCCAACUCCAUUAGGCAGGAACCUGAACAGCCU